UACGUAGGUGGCAAGCGUUGUCCGGAUUUACUGGGCGUAAAGAGCGCGCAGGCGGUCGUGCAAGUCGCGUGUGAAAGCCCCCGGCUCAACUGGGGAGGGUCACGCGAUACUGCUCGACUCGAAGGCAGGAGAGGGAAGUGGAAUUCCCGGUGUAGUGGUGAAAUGCGUAGAUAUCGGGAGGAACACCAGCGGCGAAGGCGACUUCCUGUCCUGUUCUUGACGCUGAGGCGCGAAAGCUAGGGUAGCAAACGGG
RNAcentral lists this ribosomal RNA (253 nucleotides) under uncultured bacterium. Its description in RNAcentral is "partial 16S ribosomal RNA". It matches the Rfam family "Bacterial small subunit ribosomal RNA", at positions 524 to 776 of the family's 1533-position model. The record is from RNAcentral.